Molecule: ribosomal RNA, 305 nt
Filed under: uncultured bacterium
Lineage: Bacteria
Description: bacterial SSU rRNA
Rfam family: Bacterial small subunit ribosomal RNA
Source: RNAcentral
CCCUACGGGGGGCAGCAGUAGGGAAUAUUGCUCAAUGGGGGAAACCCUGAAGCAGCAACGCCGCGUGGAGGAUGAAGGUUUUCGGAUUGUAAACUCCUUUUGUUAGAGAAGAUAAUGACGGUAUCUAACGAAUAAGCACCGGCUAACUCCGUGCCAGCAGCCGCGGUAAUACGGAGGGUGCAAGCGUUACUCGGAAUCACUGGGCGUAAAGAGCGCGUAGGCGGGAUAGCAAGUCAGAUGUGAAAUCCGGGGGCUCAACCCCCGAACUGCAUUUGAAACUGUUGGUCUUGAGUAUCGGAAAGGCG